UGUUUGUGCAGGGUUCCGGCAAGUCGGCCGUGCUGAACAGCCUCAUCGAUCAUCCCGUGCUGGUGAGAUUUUAGUCUAGCACCUCGGCUCUCCCCACUCCUUCCAUGUAUCUCCCUUGGCGUUGUUUGUUAAUCGGAUUGGAUUGUAUUGGAUUGGGUGGCGUUGUGUGGUGCAGCCGACGGGGGAGAACAGGGCGACUAGGGCGGCGAUCGUGGUGGACC
This 221-nucleotide long non-coding RNA is filed under the name Hordeum vulgare. RNAcentral's name for it is "long non-coding RNA (HVUL_LNC001734)". The record is from RNAcentral. Lineage: Eukaryota; Viridiplantae; Streptophyta; Magnoliopsida; Poales; Poaceae.